AAAUAAAAUAUAAAUGGUCUGGGCACAGUGGCGCAUGCCUGUUGUUCCAGGUACUGUACUCUGGAGGCUGAGGUGGAAGGAUCGCUGGAGUCCAGGAGCGUCCACGCUGCAGUGAGUCCAAGGUACACCCUGGGAGACGGCAAGAGAAACAUUCACUCCGUGCUUUUUCUCUAUUUUUUUCAUCUUUUCCAUUUUACAAGAGAUGCUCAUUUCAACAACCAGACAGUGGAUGUGACAGGAGAAGUGUCAAGGCCAGGAGUUUGAGACCAGCAUGAGCAACCGAGCAACACAAUCCCUGUACUAAAAACGGAAAGAACCGACACAUGAGAAAUAUGACCUGAGCAUACUGUGCCCAAGAGUGUCGUCACAGCACUCUGGGAGGCCGAUGUGGGAGGAUCGCUGGAGCCUUAAAGUUUGACAUCACCUCGACAUGUGAGAUGACACCUGCAAUAAUAAUAAUCAUAGAAGUUUAAAAAGAGAUUAUGUGUGACAGAGCAUGGACAACAAAGCGAGAGUGCAUCCGUACUAAAAACAAGAUGAUUGAUAGGCAGGCAGGCAGGCAGGCAAAUAUAGAAUGAGCCAGGUGCAGUGUCUCACGCCUGUAAUAGCAGCAGUGUGGGCGGCCGAGGCAGGCAGGUGGAUUGCUUGAGAACAGGAGAUCGAGACCAGCCUGGGCAAGAUGAUAGAACCCCAAACCCCAUCUCACUCACAUAUAUACAUACAUACAUACCUACAUACCUACCUACCUACGGAAAACAUGAGAAACAACAUAAAAGUCAACCGGUGUUGUGGUGCAUGCCUGUAGUCCCAAGUAAUGGGGAUGUGAGAGAUCAGAGGCAGGACAACCGCUUGGUUGGUCCAAAGCGUUGACGCUGGGGUGAUCCUGGGUGACAGAGACAGAGGAAGACCCUGCCAGUAAGGAAGGAAAGAAGGAAAGAAGGAAAGAAGGAAGGAAGGAAGGAAGGAAGGAAGGAAGGAAGGAAGGAAAUAAGCAAGCAAGCAAGCAAAUGAUGAACAUGACAAUGACAUAUAAUAACCCAUGACAAUAAACAAGCAAAUAAGAGGGUAUGAAUAAAGCUAAAAGGUAAUUAAGAUCACAAUCAAUUGUUUUCUCCCCACCCCACCCCACUCCUCCUCACCCCACCUCACCCCACCUCACGUAAGCUGGAGUGGAGGUGCGCGAUCACAGCCCACGUUAGCCUCUGCCUCCUGGGCUUAAGAGAUCCCUGUAGUCCCAGCUACUUGGGAGGC
This 1251-nucleotide long non-coding RNA is filed under the name Pan troglodytes (chimpanzee). RNAcentral's name for it is "long non-coding RNA NONPTRT010770". The record is from RNAcentral. Lineage: Eukaryota; Metazoa; Chordata; Mammalia; Primates; Hominidae.